Molecule: ribosomal RNA, 301 nt
Filed under: uncultured bacterium
Lineage: Bacteria
Description: partial 16S ribosomal RNA
Rfam family: Bacterial small subunit ribosomal RNA
Source: RNAcentral
CAGCAGCCGCGGGAAUACGAAGGGGGCUAGCGUUGCUCGGAAUGACUGGGCGUAAAGGGCGCGUAGGCGGAUUGCGCAGUCAGAUGUGAAAUUCCUGGGCUUAACCUGGGGGCUGCAUUUGAGACGCGUAGUCUAGAGUGUGAAAGAGGGUCGUGGAAUUCCCAGUGUAGAGGUGAAAUUCGUAGAUAUUGGGAAGAACACCGGUGGCGAAGGCGGCGACCUGGUUCAUAACUGACGCUGAGGCGCGAAAGCGUGGGGAGCAAACAGGAUUAGAUACCCGCGUAGUCCCUGUCUCUUAUAC